Molecule: ribosomal RNA, 510 nt
Filed under: uncultured bacterium
Lineage: Bacteria
Description: bacterial SSU rRNA
Rfam family: Bacterial small subunit ribosomal RNA
Source: RNAcentral
GAUCAUGGCUCAGGAUGAACGCUAGCUACAGGCUUAACACAUGCAAGUCGAGGGGCAGCAUUGGAGUAGCAAUACUCAGAUGGCGACCGGCGCACGGGUGAGUAACACGUAUCCAACCUGCCGCUUACUCGGGGAUAGCCUUUCGAAAGAAAGAUUAAUACCCGAUGGUAUAAAGAGUUCGCAUGUUCUCUUUAUUAAAGAAUUUCGGUAAGCGAUGGGGAUGCGUUCCAUUAGAUAGUUGGCGGGUAACGGCCCACCAAGUCUACGAUGGAUAGGGGUUCUGAGAGGAAGGUCCCCCACAUUGGAACUGAGACACGGUCCAAACUCCUACGGGAGGCAGCAGUGAGGAAUAUUGGUCAAUGGACGAGAGUCUGAACCAGCCAAAGUAGCGUGAAGGAUGACUGCCCUAUGGGUUGUAAACUUCUUUUAUAAGGGAAUAAAGUGAGGGACGUGUCCCUUUUUGUAUGUACCUUAUGAAUAAGGAUCGGCUAACUCCGUGCCAGCCGCCGC